ACGGGAGGCAGCAGUGGGGGAUAUUGCACAAUGGGCGGAAGCCUGAUGCAGCGAUGCCGCGUGAGGGAGGAAGGUUUUCGGAUUGUAAACCUUUGUCCUCAGGGACGAUAAUGACGGUACCUGAGGAGGAAGCUCCGGCUAACUACGUGCCAGCAGCCGCGGUAAUACGUAGGGAGCGAGCGUUGUCCGGAAUUACUGGGUGUAAAGGGUGCGUAGGCGGGACGGCAAGUCAGAUGUGAAAUGUAUGGGCUCAACCCAUAACCUGCAUUUGAAACUGUUGUUCUUGAGUGAGGUAGAGGUAAGCGGAAUUCCUAGUGUAGCGGUGAAAUGCGUAGAUAUUAGGAGGAACAUCGGUGGCGAAGGCGGCUUACUGGGCCUUUACUGACGCUGAGGCACGAAAGCGUGGGGAGCAAACAGGAUUAGAUACCCUGGUA
RNAcentral lists this ribosomal RNA (434 nucleotides) under uncultured Ruminococcus sp. Its description in RNAcentral is "partial 16S ribosomal RNA". It matches the Rfam family "Bacterial small subunit ribosomal RNA", at positions 341 to 792 of the family's 1533-position model. The record is from RNAcentral. Lineage: Bacteria; Bacillati; Bacillota; Clostridia; Eubacteriales; Oscillospiraceae.